CUAGCAAUUGGGGGAGGCGACAAAUUCGUUCCGAAUUCAUAACCCCAAUAACCCCAAAUGCCGGGUGAUGUGAAUUGAGUUAUUAUAGGUUCUGGUUCUAGUCUGUUUGCGUAGGAAAUUAGCACUGUGUUGGAAUAUAGAAAAUUCUUCAAAAUUAUCUGCUGAUGGGUCGUCGAGUAAAUUCGAUAAUUUGACAGAAAAGAGGUCCCCUGAUGUGGUUGUGGAAGAUGAGGGAGGUGAUUAUGUGCCGGGUGAAGAUGAAAAUGGCUGAACUGAUGUAAGAUGUGAGCCCGUUGUCGACUUUUUACAUGCUCAAGUUUUUUAGUGAUGUAAGAUGUGAGCCCGUUGUCGACUAGUACGUAAAGAUGGACACGUGGCGGUAGGUAAGGGGAGGGCACGUUGUUCGAGGUUCCAGCUUUAAAUGUUCCGGUAAGUAGGUUGAUUUCUGGCUAUAUAUAUCGGUGUAGUUUUAUGUUUUGAUAACUUUGCUUAGGUGAAGUGGUACUGCAACUGUUAAUAUCUGCGUGUGUGCGAAUUCUAACUUUUGUGUGGCUGUUGUUUUAGUGCAGGAAGGGUCGAUCCCGACGAAUGUUUUUGAUUUGUCCGGCGCUAUGAGUAGCUUGUCCGGGGAUUUCUUCACUGGGUUGUCUAGCGACGCGGAUCUGACUAAAGGGUUGCCUUCCCAUGGGGAUAGUGGAGAGGACCUGGCUGAAGUUACUCGAGGGGAG
RNAcentral lists this long non-coding RNA (728 nucleotides) under Daucus carota (carrot). RNAcentral describes it as "long non-coding RNA (DCAR_LNC000472)". Lineage: Eukaryota; Viridiplantae; Streptophyta; Magnoliopsida; Apiales; Apiaceae. The record is from RNAcentral.